UCUGCUUUGUUCGAAACGACGGGCCAGAAGUAGUGUCAGACGAUUUUCAGCCUUGUGGAUAUAAUUUUUUGAAUCUCAUUUGCCGUCUACUUAAUUUUGAUGCCACUAUGGUGUCACGUUUCAUUCUCUCCCAUGAAAGACCUGACGCGGAGUGUAGACCAUUCGUUGAACCAGGACUACAAAAACGAGUUGUCACUGUCGAGAGUAACAGUUGCAUGGAGUUUCUUGCAAGCGAAACACGGAACUUGUGGAGUUGAUGGGUAUGAAGAUUGGGCACAAAGUCAAUGGAGUCGAGAAAAAAAUACAGCCGGUCGCAGAGAAAGAAACUGGCCUAUUUUCUGCUGCUCAAAAAUAGGAAAAGAAAACGCUGCGAAACUAAUUUUGGAUAGCGAGUUUGGUAAAGAAG
Molecule: long non-coding RNA, 406 nt
Organism: Symsagittifera roscoffensis
Lineage: Eukaryota; Metazoa; Xenacoelomorpha; Acoela; Convolutidae
Exons: 3
Source: RefSeq, a predicted model, not a curated record